GAUGAAGAACGUAGCGAAAUGCGAUAAGUAAUGUGAAUUGCAGAAUUCAGUGAAUCAUCGAAUCUUUGAACGCACCUUGCGCUCCUUGGUAUUCCGAGGAGCAUGCCUGUUUGAGUGUCAUUAAAUUCUCAACCUCACCAGUUUUCUGAACUGUUCUUCGAGGCUUGGAUGUGGGGGUUUGUGCAGGCUGCCUCACGGCGGUCCGCUCCCCUGAAAUGCAUUAGCGAGUUCAUACUGAACUUCCGUCUAUUGGUGUGAUAAUUAUCUACGCCGUGGACGAGGAUCAGACUCGCUUCUAACCGUCCGCGAGGACAAUACCUUGACAAUUUGACCUCAAAUCAGGUAGGACUACCCGCUGAACUUAAGCAUAUCAAUAAGCGGAGGA
Molecule: unclassified non-coding RNA, 385 nt
Filed under: soil metagenome
Description: partial contains 5.8S ribosomal RNA, internal transcribed spacer 2, and large subunit ribosomal RNA
Rfam family: 5.8S ribosomal RNA (bases 1-120)
Source: RNAcentral